RNAcentral lists this unclassified non-coding RNA (549 nucleotides) under plant metagenome. RNAcentral's name for it is "partial contains small subunit ribosomal RNA, internal transcribed spacer 1, and 5.8S ribosomal RNA". The record is from RNAcentral.
UUUCCGUAGGUGAACCUGCGGAAGGAUCAUUAAAUAGUACCACAGAUUACAUAUGCAAAUAUGACAAUCUACUACUAUAUACCAUUCCGAGUACUCUUUUUCCAUGUUGCUUCCGCGAGGCAGUCACUUCAAGUGGCCGUUUGCUCCGGAUCUCCCUUCUUGGAGAGCCGGCUGUGGGCGAGAUUUCCUUGCGAAAGGUCAAUUACAAAUCCAAUUAUGUUUUUAUUUUGUGUCUGAAUAGAUUUUUUUUUUUUUUCUUUUUUUAAUUAACAAUGAAAAUUAGCAUCAUGAUUCCAUUAUCCCGUUCAGGGUAAUUUUUUCCCGUGUUGUUUCCGGAUGGAAGUGCCUUCAAGUGGCGGUUUGAACUGGACUUCCCUUUUUGUGGGCCCGGUGUUGGGAGGGAUUUCCUUGCGAAAGUUCAAUUACAAAUCAAAUUAUGUUUUAAUUUUGUGUCUGAAUAGAUUUUUUUUUUCUUUCUUUUUUUAAUUAAUAAAUACAAAAAAAAUAAAAUAAAAUACAAAACUUUCAACAACGGAUCUCUUGGUUCUC